Molecule: ribosomal RNA, 873 nt
Filed under: Vibrio sp. FAL599
Lineage: Bacteria; Pseudomonadati; Pseudomonadota; Gammaproteobacteria; Vibrionales; Vibrionaceae
Description: bacterial SSU rRNA
Rfam family: Bacterial small subunit ribosomal RNA
Source: RNAcentral
UGCAAGUCGAGCGGAAACGAGAAGUAGCUUGCUACUUCGGCGUCGAGCGGCGGACGGGUGAGUAAUGCCUAGGAAGUUGCCCAGUAGAGGGGGAUAACCAUUGGAAACGAUGGCUAAUACCGCAUAAUCUCUUUGGAGCAAAGCAGGGGACCUUCGGGCCUUGUGCUAUUGGAUACGCCUAGGUGGGAUUAGCUAGUUGGUGAGGUAAUGGCUCACCAAGGCGACGAUCCCUAGCUGGUCUGAGAGGAUGAUCAGCCACACUGGAACUGAGACACGGUCCAGACUCCUACGGGAGGCAGCAGUGGGGAAUAUUGCACAAUGGGCGAAAGCCUGAUGCAGCCAUGCCGCGUGUAUGAAGAAGGCCUUCGGGUUGUAAAGUACUUUCAGUCGUGAGGAAGGGGGUAAGCUUAAUACGCUUAUCUCUUGACGUUAGCGACAGAAGAAGCACCGGCUAACUCCGUGCCAGCAGCCGCGGUAAUACGGAGGGUGCGAGCGUUAAUCGGAAUUACUGGGCGUAAAGCGCAUGCAGGUGGUUCAAUAAGUCAGAUGUGAAAGCCCGGGGCUCAACCUCGGAACUGCAUUUGAAACUGUUGGACUAGAGUACUGUAGAGGGGGGUAGAAUUUCAGGUGUAGCGGUGAAAUGCGUAGAGAUCUGAAGGAAUACCAGUGGCGAAGGCGGCCCCCUGGACAGAUACUGACACUCAGAUGCGAAAGCGUGGGGAGCAAACAGGAUUAGAUACCCUGGUAGUCCACGCCGUAAACGAUGUCUACUUGGAGGUUGUGGCCUUGAGCCGUGGCUUUCGGAGCUAACGCGUUAAGUAGACCGCCUGGGGAGUACGGUCGCAAGAUUAAAACUCAAAUGAAUUGACGGGG